CACAGGUGUAUUAAAAAAGUCAUAUCUUGUCUUACCGGAAGACAAUAGCACAAGUCCUGAACAACUAGCUCGUUAUCAGCUAAUCAUAACACCCUGAUGACUCCAUAGUUUCCGUUCUUUUCUGAUCCAACACAGUGACCUAGCUGGAGGGAGGACACUGCAUCUUAUAAGACGCUGUUUUGCACUGUGCAUAUUACAGACCAAAACAGGCACCCACUUAACGCAAGAACGGAUCUGAUGAAGAAACGGGAAGGCCUGAAUGCUGGUUAUGAAAAGUAAAGAGGGCAGGAUCCUAAAGUAAGAGAUUUCCCUCCCCAAGGUCAGCCCCACACGCCGCCCUCUGGCUGGGCUGAAGGACUCUCCAGAUUCGCUUCUCAGGCCGGGCAGAGCUGAAACGUGCCAUUUUGUAGCCGAAUCUGACAGCAGCUACAGCGUAGCCAGGGCGGGGAGGCGGCGGCGGCGCCGCGGAGCCCGUGGCUAUGCAGCAAGGCGGAAAGCGGGGAAACAGGCCAUCGAUUAAGGCAAUUCACAAGGACUAAAAAACAGAGGGAUGUCCGCCUCAAAGUUCACUUCAUGAAAGAAGCGAUGCAUCCUGCAUCAGAACUGAGCCCUACCCAUGAAGCAGCAGAUUUAGACUGAUGAGGAGUGCCUUCCAGCUGCCCCUCAUUUGAGGCACACAGCUGGGGGUCGUCAGGGCUUGAUGUCGAUCCAGGAGACGGAGGUGACGGAGAGCUUGGGUGAUGGAGAGCGAGUCGUAGACCAAGUGGUGGGCUCUGGUUCAGCUCGAGAACUUGAUUGCAUAGGCUCAUCUGCUGCUGGUUGUUUUUCCUUGAAAAACAUGGUGAUCGGCAACUGUCGCUGUUGUCUCUUGAGCUGCUCAAACAU
Molecule: long non-coding RNA, 885 nt
Organism: Chelonia mydas (Green sea turtle)
Lineage: Eukaryota; Metazoa; Chordata; Testudines; Cheloniidae
Exons: 3
Source: RefSeq, a predicted model, not a curated record